UAAACGACCAGUCGGAACACUUCGGCACCAAAGAUCGCCCCAUUGGCCGCAGCCUCCUUCUGCGUUAUCUCGGCCAACUGCUGCCGACGAUCGCCAUAAAUCACGCAGCUCCUCUGGGCAUAGGAGCCCUCGAUCUCAUAGCCGUGCAGAUUUGAUGCACUGCAAGGAGUUACGUGCGCCAAUGUUUUAGAAUGGCGGAGUCUAGUCUGUUUCUUCACGGAAAAUACGGGAAUGGCUGUCCCCUCGCCCUCGUAGACCAGCCACUGUUGGCUGAAGCUUAGACUCAGCAUCUUACGGCGUG
RNAcentral lists this unclassified non-coding RNA (301 nucleotides) under Hevea brasiliensis (rubber tree). The record is from RNAcentral. Lineage: Eukaryota; Viridiplantae; Streptophyta; Magnoliopsida; Malpighiales; Euphorbiaceae.